RNAcentral lists this ribosomal RNA (424 nucleotides) under uncultured marine bacterium. Its description in RNAcentral is "bacterial SSU rRNA". It matches the Rfam family "Bacterial small subunit ribosomal RNA", at positions 360 to 804 of the family's 1533-position model. The record is from RNAcentral.
AAUUUUUGGCAAUGGGGGAACCUGGCAGAGCAAUACCGCCUGAAGGAAUUAAAAUUUUCAUAUGGUAAAAACCUCUGUAGUAAGGAAGAAAUUUCGGUGUUACCGGUACAUUCAGCAUAGGCUCAGUCUGUGUCAGCAGCAGCGGUAAUGGGAAUGAGGCAAGUGCUAUCCGGAAUCGGUGGGAGUAAGAGUUCAGUAGGCGGUAUAUUUUAUCUAUUAUAGAAUUGAGAAGUUCAGGCUCAAAACUGUACUAGAAACUAAUAAACUUGAGGAUGAUAGGGAGAAGGGGAAUUUCCAUUGGAGCGGUAAAAUUGUAGAUAGUGGUUGGCCUACGUAGGCAAGGCGCUUUUGUGGGAUAUUUUUACACUAAGAGUGAAAACUAGGGGAACAAAUGAGAAUAGAUAUCCCUGUAGUCCUAGCCCAA